UGCGGUUACUGGGAAAACGCCGACUUGCAUCAAUGCAGAGAGCAACUGGUGGUGCCUCAUAUAUCUGGUGCCAUAAUCGCUGGCAGAUGCAGACUUUUGUCCAGUGGUGACCAGUACACAUCGCUUCCUUGCGUGUGCGUUAUUUCUGGAAUGACAACGGUCACGAUUCCAGACGCAACAGAGAACAAGCUUCAAUGGAUGCUGUGACAUCAGGAUCAUGUCACUACCCAGGUGCUGAUCUUGGGUGAGCUGGAGGAUGUCUAGGGAAGCCCCGAGUAAUCUCAGCAACACUGGAUGAACAUCAGUAUAACAGAGAGCACGGAUGCAAGCCUGGAAGGACACGUUUGGCAGAUGCAGCAUAAGUGAACGGGAACCUCCCUUUGAAGCGCUGCAUCACGUGCAGUGCAGCACUCGGCAGCCCGGUGCAUCAAGAGAGAGGGCAGAGCUCACCCUCAUUAGCUCGCAAGCGCCCAGCUCAGGUCCAUCUCGACAAUUAUUUCACAAUGGCCACGAACAAGCACUGGCGUCAUCGCACCCCUCGUCUCAUUACAGAUUAUUUCCUUAGUAACGCAAGGCUCUGAUGUCUCUCGUUAGAGUCUUAUUUGGCUCCCAUCGCCAUAGCAACGCGUGCCCCGAAGCCAUUCAGAUUUUUACAAUCGCAACGCCCGGUGAAGUCUAAGACGAAUCUCUACUCUGCACUUCGAGGUAGGGAACUGAGGCACAGAGAGGCUUAAGUCAAAGGAAAGCCAGGUUGGAAGUAACUUCAGGAGGACAUCUGGUCCAGCCCCCGCGCGAGGCAGAAUCAUCCUCCACCGAACCCUCCCAGCCAAGUGUGUGUCUAACCUGCUCUUGACAACUUCCAGGGAUGGAGAUUUCACAACGUCUCUAGGCAGCCUGUUCCAACGCUUG
This is a long non-coding RNA of Gavialis gangeticus (Gharial), 909 nucleotides long. RefSeq lists it as uncharacterized. The transcript has 3 exons. NCBI's taxonomy places the organism in Eukaryota, Metazoa, Chordata, Crocodylia, Gavialidae. The record is from RefSeq and is a predicted model, not a curated record.